RNAcentral lists this ribosomal RNA (173 nucleotides) under Salmonella enterica subsp. enterica serovar Infantis. Its description in RNAcentral is "partial 16S ribosomal RNA". It matches the Rfam family "Bacterial small subunit ribosomal RNA", at positions 1 to 169 of the family's 1533-position model. Lineage: Bacteria; Pseudomonadati; Pseudomonadota; Gammaproteobacteria; Enterobacterales; Enterobacteriaceae. The record is from RNAcentral. RNAcentral also lists the same sequence under 4 other names.
AAAUUGAAGAGUUUGAUCAUGGCUCAGAUUGAACGCUGGCGGCAGGCCUAACACAUGCAAGUCGAACGGUAGCACAGAGAGCUUGCUCUCGGGUGACGAGUGGCGGACGGGUGAGUAAUGUCUGGGAAACUGCCUGAUGGAGGGGGAUAACUACUGGAAACGGUGGCUAAUAC